RNAcentral lists this ribosomal RNA (253 nucleotides) under uncultured bacterium. RNAcentral's name for it is "partial 16S ribosomal RNA". It matches the Rfam family "Bacterial small subunit ribosomal RNA", at positions 524 to 776 of the family's 1533-position model. The record is from RNAcentral.
UACGUAGGGGGCAAGCGUUAUCCGGAUUUACUGGGUGUAAAGGGAGCGUAGGCGGCGAUGCAAGUCAGAAGUGAAAGCCCGGGGCUCAACUCCGGGACUGCUUUUGAAACUGUGUUGCUAGAUUGCAGGAGAGGUAAGUGGAAUUCCUAGUGUAGCGGAGAAAUGCGUAGAUAUUAGGAGGAACACCAGUGGCGAAGGCGGCUUACUGGACUGUAAAUGACGCUGAGGCUCGAGAGCGUGGGGAGCAAACAGG